UGUGCAUGUGUGUAUAGUUGUGUGUGCAUGUUCAUGUCUAUAUUUGAAUAUACAUAACAUACACACACACGUAUAAACGCAAGCACA
RNAcentral lists this microRNA precursor (87 nucleotides) under Mus musculus (house mouse). RNAcentral's name for it is "microRNA mmu-mir-669a precursor (mmu-mir-669a 4 to 12)". Its record names the gene mmu-mir-669a-4. RNAcentral also lists the same sequence under 1 other name. Lineage: Eukaryota; Metazoa; Chordata; Mammalia; Rodentia; Muridae. The record is from miRBase by way of RNAcentral.